AAAAGCUCAAAUUUGAAAUCUGGUACUUUCAGUGCCCGAGUUGUAAUUUGUAGAAUUUGUCUUUGAUUAGGUCCUUGUCUAUGUUCCUUGGAACAGGACGUCAUAGAGGGUGAGAAUCCCGUUUGGCGAGGAUACCUUUUCUCUGUAAGACUUUUUCGAAGAGUCGAGUUGUUUGGGAAUGCAGCUCAAAGUGGGUGGUAAAUUCCAUCUAAAGCUAAAUAUUGGCGAGAGACCGAUAGCGAACAAGUACAGUGAUGGAAAGAUGAAAAGAACUUUGAAAAGAGAGUGAAAAAGUACGUGAAAUUGUUGAAAGGGAAGGGCAUUUGAUCAGACAUGGUGUUUUUUGCAUGCACUCGCCUCUCGUGGGCUUGGGCCUCUCAAAAAUUUCACUGGGCCAACAUCAAUUCUGGCAGCAGGAUAAAUCAUUAAGAAUGUAGCUACUUCGGUAGUGUUAUAGCUUUUUGGAAUACUGUUAGCCGGGAUUGAGGACUGCGCUUCGGCAAGGAUGUUGGCAUAAUGGUUAAAUGCCGCCCGUCUUGAACCACCCGAGAACCA
This 555-nucleotide ribosomal RNA is filed under the name Hanseniaspora uvarum. Its description in RNAcentral is "partial large subunit ribosomal RNA". It matches the Rfam family "Eukaryotic large subunit ribosomal RNA", at positions 103 to 668 of the family's 3401-position model. The record is from RNAcentral. Lineage: Eukaryota; Fungi; Ascomycota; Saccharomycetes; Saccharomycodales; Saccharomycodaceae.